AAAGGAGGAAGUGAGGGGAGAUGAAUGACAAGAGCUGGAGGGAACUCCUGCAAGAAGUGCCCAGAGGACCGAUGUCCUUCUUGGAAAGGCUCCAUGGAAAUCAAGUCCCAAGCAGAGCACGAAGGGAUGGAGUAACUGAAUGGGAAGGUGGCUACAAGGCAGCACCAACAAUCCUACACAGCACUCUUCGCAAGUGUGGCCAUUGACUACUUUUCUCAAACUUCUUCCUCCCUCAAGCACUGCUCCCUUCUGCUCAUCUUUAACUCUGCCACAAAAGUUUUCUGAUUCUCGGCAGCUGCCGCCAUGAAGGCCAUGGUGCAGCGCGUCACCUGGGCCAGCGUCACAGUUGGAGGAGAGCAGAUAAGCACCAUUGGACGGGGCAUCUGCGUGUUGCUGGGUAUUUCCUUGGAAGAUACGCAGAAGGAACUGGAGCACAUGGUCUGGAAGAUCUUAAACCUGCGUGUGUUUGAGGAUGAAGGUGGGAAACACUGGUCGAAGAGCGUGAUGGACAAGCAGUACGAGGUGCUGUGCGUCAGCCAGUUCACCCUGCAGUGUGUCCUCAAGGGGAACAAGCCUGACUUCCACCUGGCCGUGCCUGCAGAGCAGGCUGAGUCCUUCUACCAGGGCUUCCUGGAGCAGCUGCGCAAGGCCUACAGGCCGGAGCUCAUCAAAGAUGACAAGUUCGGUGCCUACAUGCAAGUUCACAUUCAGAACGACGGGCCUGUCACCAUAGAACUGGAGUCUCCAGCCCCUGGUGCUGCUGCCUCUGACCCGAAGCAGCUGUCAAAGCUUGAAAAGCAGCAGCAGAGGAAAGAAAAAACCAGAGCCAAAGGGCCUUCUGAGUCAAGCAAAGAGAGAAGCACUCCCCGCAAGGAAGACCGCAGCGCCAGCAGUGGGGCCGAGGGGCACGUGUCCUUGGAGCGGGAGCCGUAGGUGGGCUGGACACAGUGCAUUAUCAUUGGGCAGAACUGGAUCCUGAAAAAUUCAUGAAAGAUGCUAGGCACCUAUACUACUUUAAAGACUUGGACCUGAAUCCUGAAAAGGAAGAUGGAAAUAAGAAACUGGGAACCUACAAAAACACACACAAAAAACCCACUAAAGGAGCAUUCCAUUUUUUGUUGCUGCUGUGGCUUAAUAGAGGAGAUGGGUGCUGCCAGGGUGGGGAAGAUGCCCCAUGCACAGGGCAGCAAGGAACACACCCAAGGGUCCCCUCAGGAAGGCCACGUUGGUACCUCUGAUUCUUGGCUUGCUUUUGGAACAGGCUGGCCCAACAUCACUUGUCAUCGAGUCCUCCUUUCACCCUGUGGUGUAUUUCUGAGUGUCCAUGAUGGGUCCCAAAUGCGGUCACACUGUCCAUGUUUUUCCCAACACUGGCUAGGCCAGGGCUCAUGUUAGGAUGUAAAGAGAACAGUCGUCCAUG
Capra hircus (goat) is the source of this 1420-nucleotide RNA transcript. It is a transcript of the gene named D-tyrosyl-tRNA(Tyr) deacylase 1 pseudogene, with no coding region annotated. The transcript has a single exon. NCBI's taxonomy places the organism in Eukaryota, Metazoa, Chordata, Mammalia, Artiodactyla, Bovidae. The record is from RefSeq and is a predicted model, not a curated record.